This is a non-coding RNA of Otolemur garnettii (small-eared galago), 128 nucleotides long. The record is from Rfam. Lineage: Eukaryota; Metazoa; Chordata; Mammalia; Primates; Galagidae.
UAUGGCAGGGAAGACCUAAGAUGGCAGCCUUUGCUUGCAACUGCUGCGUGCUUACCCUAUGUGGCUGGGAGGCCAAAGGAUGAAUCUACUAAUGAAAGUCCAAAAACAUCCCAGUUUUUGUGAAGUCA